CCUACGGGAGACAGCAGUGAGGAAUAUUGGUCAAUGGACGUAAGCCUGAACCAGCCAAGUCGCGUGCGGGAUGACGGUUCUAUGGAUCGUAAACCUCUUUUAUACGGGAAUAAAGUGUGGGACGUGUCCUAUUUUGUAUGUACCUUAUGAAUAAGGAUCGGCUAACUCCGUGCCAGCAGCCGCGGUAAUACGGAGGAUCCGAGCGUUAUCCGGAUUUAUUGGGUUUAAAGGGUGCGUAGGCGGCCUUUAAGUCAGCGGUGAAAGUCUGUGGCUCAACCAUAGAAUUGCCUUUGAAACUGGGGGGCUUGAGAAUGUUUGAGGCAGGCGGAAUGCGUGGUGUAGCGGUGAAAUGCUUAGAGAUCACGCAGAACCCCGAUUGCGAAGGCAGCCUGCCAAGCCAUGUCUGACGCUGAUGCACGAAAGCGUGGGGAUCAAACAGGAUUAGAUACCCCAGUAGUC
RNAcentral lists this ribosomal RNA (459 nucleotides) under uncultured bacterium. RNAcentral describes it as "partial 16S ribosomal RNA". It matches the Rfam family "Bacterial small subunit ribosomal RNA", at positions 338 to 795 of the family's 1533-position model. The record is from RNAcentral.